UUGGGUGCAUGUGAUGCUGCAGAGUGAACUCAGGGCUUAGUGAAUGUGAGCAAGCACUCAACUGGGAAACACACACCCCUUCCAGCCCCCUCUGGUUCUGAUGAGAGGUUUUAUUACAUUUGUAAUCAUGCAAUACCUUUAUAUGGCUCUAAAUUUAAAAGGGCUCUACUAUACCUUUAUGGAAGUAUCAUUCUAUCUCUGAUCCCUUCGUUUCAUUCCCUGUGGUCCUCGUAAAUACUAUUUCUUUUUAAGUUUGACCUAUGGUUCCAGGAUUUCCUUUUUUUUUUUUUGAAACUAUAUGUAUACAUACAUGAAAUUCAUUAGUUAUAUUCUUUUCCUAUAUAAAUACUGGUCUGAAGCUUGCUCUUUUGAUUUUAACGAUAUGUCCUAUAUAUAAUUCUAUACCCAUAUAAAAGCUAUUCUUUUGCCUUCUUACAGUUACACGAUACUGUAUGUGUAUGUAUAAUAGUUAUUUAGAUAUUUUGCUAUGAACAAACCCUGAAAUAUUGGUUUUAUAUCUGAAGUCUUAUGCUGUUUUGAACUAUGCCCUGAAAUUAGCCUUGUGGUUUUUUUAUGUGUGUCACACACACACACACACACACACACAUAAUUUGGUAUUUUUCAAGAACUUCUUUCAAAUAAAUUCUAAAAGGUGAAAUUGCUGAGACAAAGAGUAAAUGUUUGUGUACUUCUAAUAAACAAAUUCCAUCCUGAGGUAAUUGUACUUUUCUGUAUUUCUACCAGCAAUGUAUAAGAGUAGUUAUCUCUUAAGAUACACAACGUGAAUUCAAGAAAGAGUAGCCAUGAAUGAGAGAGAGAGAGAGAGAGAGAGAGAGAGAGAGAGAGAGAGAGGAAGAGCGAGAGAGAGCACAAAGGGGAAAUACAUGCGAGGAGCUAGAAGAAAAGCAAGGGGGAAAAUAUAUAUUUUAAUUUCAAAAGUAAAAUAUUUUAUUUUUAAAAGGGUACAAAAGGUGUAGUCAUUUAGAAAAUGAUGACUCAAUUUAUGAAUACAGCUGCAUUAAAAUAAAAAAUUCCUGAUCAUAGGAUGUGUCAUAAAAUACAUCAACAAUAUGACUCAGUGGGUAAAGGCCACUUCCACAAAACCUGGGGACCUGAGUUCAAUCCUGUGGCCCACAUGUGGAAGGAGAGAACUAAUUCCUCCAAAGACGCCCUCUGACUUCCACACAUACGCUGUGGCACAAGGCAUCCAAUAAGCAAAAGAAUCAUGAGUAGAUAGAAAAACCAUGGGAUAAGAUGGUUACUACACAGAUAAUUAGAGAGUGCAUCUACUGGAUGUAUGAAAUUGCAUAUAUCCUUAAGAAACAGAGGUAGGCAACCAAGGGGAAAUUGAGCAAAAGACUGAUGAGUCUUCCCUAAAAAGAGGGAAAAUAUGUAACUAAUAGAUAUAUUAAAAGUGUUUAAUCACAUUAGAGUUUGAAAUGAGCUUGCAUUAGAGGUGAAAUCCAAGUCAGAUGAGGAGGGCAAUCCAUAGGAUUUAAAAAUCCUGAUGUUUGAAAAUAUGUAACUGCAUGACCAUUCUAAAGUAUAUAAUCAGAGACUUAUACCAUGACCACUAUAAGCCAGGCACUAUUCUGGGUUCUCAGGUGAUAUCAAUGAGCAAAGACCCUAGGAACUUAGAGAUGGCUGGAACCAAUAGAGGGACACGGAUCUCUGUGAGUUUGAGGCCUGAUUUAUACAGUGAGUUUCAGACUAGCCGAAGCUUCAGAAUAAGACCAUGUCUGAAACAAAACCAACCAACAAACAACCCCAACCAAACAAAUAAGCAAAACCGGUGGCGCUUCCUUGGUGCUUAACACCACACAAAUUGGAUCCUGCCAACCUCAUCUCCAAGUCUGUGUGCUGCCGUCUGCAAAAACUUAAGAGAAGAGAAAGAGACUGAAGUGAAAAGGUGAAGGCAUGAGCCCUCGUGGAAAUCAGAGGGAUGACUCCAUAGGAACACGGUGGAGAACUUCCAGUCAGCGAGCGAGCGAGGAAAUCUAUGUUGAGUGACAACUUUAUAAACAUAACAAUUAGCAACACAAUCCCAAAAGACAAUGACUUACUAAACGGUAACAAGAGGCGGAAUUAGUAAUCAGCUAGCUAUCCUAAAAAACCACUCAGGUUCAAUAGGACUCAUUGGUGAAUUCUAUCAAAUAUUCACCUAGUCUUCAGUACCAUUUUAACGACUUCAUCUUAGGACUUCUGACCUCUAGAUCUGUACUAGAAGAAACCUAUGUUGCUUUAGGCUAUCAGAUGUGUGGUAAUUAAUUAUAAUAACCGUAAGAAAGUAAUGUACUGCAACAGAGCUGGCAUAGAAAACCUAGCGCUAAGAUGAAUGGCUUAAAAAACAUGUUUCUCCCUGAAGAGAGCAUUUGCUGCUUUUCCAGAGAAGUUGAGUGUGAUUUAUAGCAAAGAAUGAAUAGUAAUAUUACAUUAAAAGAAGAUUAGGGAUAAAGCAAGAACACUGGGUCACAUUACUUCCAUUCAACAAUGUACUGAAGGUUCUGGAAAACAGAAGGAAAAGCAAGUAAACAACAAGGUUCCAGACAAGAGAACAAGUAAAACUGUCUUUAUUCAUAGGAAACACCGUGUUUCUUGUGUAGAAGACGCCAAGCUAUCCAUACUAAAACCACUAGAAUAAAAUAAUCAAUAGAACAUUUAAUUAGAUCAUGUUAGAUGAAUAUAAGGUGAAAACAAAACCCAGCAUCUCUCUAUAUACUUGCAGACAAGAAUAAACAAAAGCAGAACAAUUUUAUUUACAAGAGUGUCAAAAUGAAUAAAAUGUUUAAAAAUAAAUUUCAUAGAAGUAUAGGUCUGAUGCACUAUAAUAUAUACAAUAUAAUAUUACUUAUUAUAUAAUAUAUAAAAUAUAAAUAUAUAUAUUAUAUAUAAAAUAAUGCUGAACGAAAUUAUAGCUGAUCUGAAUAAAGGAAGAGACACUGUGUGUUCAUGUGCUAGGAGAAACUGUCACUAAAUGAAAUGACAGACUCAAUCCAAUCUCCUUUAAAUUUCAGCAUUUAUGUAGAAAAAUCAACAAAGAGUUGACAAAAUUUGCAUGGAUAUAUAAGAACUAGGAGAGAAGAAACAAAGUCGGAAGAGUUACUCUUUCUUGAUUGCCAAACUCGCUAUAAAGGUCCACUAGGGAUUUGACACAUAAAGACAUAAAUAUAGAUCAAAGCAACAAAACCAUACAAAGAAAUUUAAGAUACAGUGUUAAUCAAUAGGAAAUCUUCAUAUAAAAUUAAGAACCUAGAUCAUACCUUAGAAACACAAAUUUCCAUGCAUAAAGACAGUACGUAUUCUAGAAGAAGACAUAGAACUAUUUUUCUUUACUUUGAUUCCGGGAAAGAUUUCUUAGUUAAGAUACCAAAAAGCUUAAAUACUAACAGAAUAAAUUUCUAAAUUGGACCUCAUUAAGACAUCUGUGCUUUAAGACACAAUUAAGAACAUAAGAAAAGAUCAGAAGCAAGCAUUAUACUUAUAAAGGACCUGCCUUCAGAAGACACAAAGAAAUCUUACUAUAUAAUACUAAAACUACCCAUACUCCACCAAUUUAAAACUGGACAAAAGUCUCAAAUUCCACUGAAGAAUUUCUUUUUGUUACUGGGUAAGUGCAUAGAAUAUGCUGGGCAGUG
This 3635-nucleotide long non-coding RNA is filed under the name Mus musculus (house mouse). RNAcentral's name for it is "long non-coding RNA chrX:139970762-139974397". The record is from RNAcentral. Lineage: Eukaryota; Metazoa; Chordata; Mammalia; Rodentia; Muridae.